RNAcentral lists this ribosomal RNA (495 nucleotides) under uncultured bacterium. Its description in RNAcentral is "partial 16S ribosomal RNA". It matches the Rfam family "Bacterial small subunit ribosomal RNA", at positions 28 to 507 of the family's 1533-position model. The record is from RNAcentral.
GACGAACGCUGGCGGCGUGCCUAAUACAUGCAAGUAGAACGCUGAAGGAGGAGCUUGCUUCUCUGGAUGAGUUGCGAACGGGUGAGUAACGCGUAGGUAACCUGCCUGGUAGCGGGGGAUAACUAUUGGAAACGAUAGCUAAUACCGCAUAAGAGUAGAUGUUGCAUGACAUUUGCUUAAAAGGUGCAAUUGCAUCACUACCAGAUGGACCUGCGUUGUAUUAGCUAGUUGGUGGGGUAACGGCUCACCAAGGCGACGAUACAUAGCCGACCUGAGAGGGUGAGCGGCCACACUGGGACUGAGACACGGCCCAGACUCCUACGGGAGGCAGCAGUAGGGAAUCUUCGGCAAUGGACGGAAGUCUGACCGAGCAACGCCGCGUGAGGGAAGAAGGUUUUCGGAUCGUAAAGCUCUGUUGUAAGAGAAGAACGAGGGUGAGAGUGGAAAGUUCACACUGUGACGGUAUCUUACCAGAAAGGGACGGCUAACUACGUG